CCAGACUCCUACGGGAGGCAGCAGUGAGGAAUAUUGGUCAAUGGCCGGAAGGCUGAACCAGCCAAGCCGCGUGAAGGACGAAGGUGCCAAGCAUUGUAAACUUCUUUUGUCAAGGGACAAAAUCAGGCUCGAGAGCCUGACCGAGGGUACUUGAAGAAAAAGCAUCGGCUAACUCCGUGCCAGCAGCCGCGGUAAUACGGAGGAUGCGAGCGUUAUCCGGAUUUAUUGGGUUUAAAGGGUGCGCAGGCGGAUUUUUAAGUCAGCGGUCAAAUCGUGGGGCUCAACCCCAUCCAGCCGUUGAAACUGGGGAUCUAGAGUGUGCGAGAGGUAUGCGGAAUGCGCAGUGUAGCGGUGAAAUGCUUAGAUAUUGCGCAGAACUCCGAUUGCGAAGGCAGCAUACCGGCGGCGAUCUGACGCUGAGGCACGAAAGCGUGGGGAUCGAACAGGAUUAGAUACCCCAGUA
RNAcentral lists this ribosomal RNA (463 nucleotides) under uncultured bacterium. Its description in RNAcentral is "bacterial SSU rRNA". It matches the Rfam family "Bacterial small subunit ribosomal RNA", at positions 331 to 792 of the family's 1533-position model. The record is from RNAcentral.